Molecule: transfer RNA, 90 nt
Filed under: Bartonella bovis 91-4
Lineage: Bacteria; Pseudomonadati; Pseudomonadota; Alphaproteobacteria; Hyphomicrobiales; Bartonellaceae
Also listed under: 1 other name
Description: tRNA-Ser
Rfam family: tRNA
About the family: Transfer RNA (tRNA) molecules are approximately 80 nucleotides in length.
Source: RNAcentral
GGAGAGAUGGCUGAGUGGUUGAAAGCACCGCACUCGAAAUGCGGCAUAGGGGUGACUCUAUCGAGGGUUCAAAUCCCUCUCUCUCCGCCA